AGCAGCCGCGGUAAUUCCAGCUCNUAUAGCGUAUAUUAAAGUUGUUGCAGUUAAAAAGCUCGUAGUUGAACCUUGGGCCUGGCUGGCCGGUCCGCCUCACCGCGUGCACUGGUCCGGCCGGGUCUUUCCCUCUGGGGAACCGCAUGCCAUUCACUUGGUGUGUCGGGGAACCAGGACUUUUACUUUGAAAAAAUUAGAGUGUUCAAAGCAGGCCUAUGCUCGAAUACAUUAGCAUGGAAUAAUAGAAUAGGACGUGUGGUUCUAUUUUGUUGGUUUCUAGGACCGCCGUAAUGAUUAAUAGGGACAGUCGGGGGCAUCAGUAUUCAAUUGUCAGAGGUGAAAUUCUUGGAUUUAUUGAAGACUAACUACUGCGAAAGCAUUUGCCAAGGAUGUUUUCAUUAAUCAGGAACGAAAGUUAGGGGAUCGAAGACGAUCAGAUACCGUCGUAGUCUUAACCAUAAACUAUGCCGACUAGGGAUCGGACGAUGUUAUUUUUUGACUCG
RNAcentral lists this ribosomal RNA (503 nucleotides) under uncultured fungus. Its description in RNAcentral is "SSU rRNA". It matches the Rfam family "Eukaryotic small subunit ribosomal RNA", at positions 569 to 1078 of the family's 1831-position model. The record is from RNAcentral. Lineage: Eukaryota; Fungi.